CCUACGGGAGGCAGCAGUAGGGAAUCUUCCGCAAUGGACGAAAGCCUGACGGAGCAACGCCGCGUGAACGAUGAAGGCCUUCGGGUCGUAAAGUUCUGUUGUUAGGGAAGAACAAGUGCUAGUUAAAUAAGCUGGCACCUUGACGGUACCUAACCAGAAAGCCACGGCUAACUACGUGCCAGCAGCCGCGGUAAUACGUAGGUGGCAAGCGUUGUCCGGAAUUAUUGGGCGUAAAGCGCGCGCAGGCGGUUUCUUAAGUCUGAUGUGAAAGCCCCCGGCUCAACCGGGGAGGGUCAUUGGAAACUGGGAAACUUGAGUGCAGAAGAGGAAAGUGGAAUUCCAAGUGUAGCGGUGAAAUGCGUAGAGAUUUGGAGGAACACCAGUGGCGAAGGCGACUUUCUGGUCUGUAACUGACGCUGAGGCGCGAAAGCGUGGGGAGCAAACAGGAUUAGAUACCCUGGUAGUCCACGCUGUAAACGAUGAGUGCUAAGUGUUAGAGGGUUUCCGCCCUUUAGUGCUGAAGUUAACGCAUUAAGCACUCCGCCUGGGGAGUACGGUCGCAAAGACUGAAACUCAAAGGAAUUGACGGNUUGAGAGNGCGAGCGACGACGAGGAGAG
Molecule: ribosomal RNA, 618 nt
Filed under: uncultured bacterium
Lineage: Bacteria
Description: bacterial SSU rRNA
Rfam family: Bacterial small subunit ribosomal RNA
Source: RNAcentral